AAUAAGUUAAGUAGCGGUGAAAUGCAUAGAUAUAACUUAGAACUCCGAUAGCGAAGGCAGCUUACCAGACUGUAACUGACGCUGAUGCACGAGAGCGUGGGUAGCGAACAGGAUUAGAUACCCUGGUAGUCCACGCCGUAAACGAUGCUCACUGGUUCUGUGCACGGGAUUAAGCGAAAGUAUUAAGUGAGCCACCUGGGGAGUACGUCGGCAACGAUGAAACUCAAAGGAAUUGACGGGGGCCCGCACAAGCGGAGGAACAUGUGGUUUAAUUCGAUGAUACGCGAGGAACCUUACCUGGGUUUAAAUGGAAGGUGCUGCAUGGUUGUCGUCAGCUCGUGCCGUGAGGUGUCGGGUUAAGUCCCAUAACGAGCGCAACCCUUACCGUUAGUUGCCACUCUAACGGGACUGCCACCGUAAGGUGGAGGAAGGCGGGGAUGACGUCAAAUCAGCACGGCCCUUACACCCAGGGCUACACACGUGUUACAAUGGCCGGUACAGAGGGCCGCUACCAGGUGACUGGAUGCCAAUCUCAAGAGCCGGUCGUAGUUCGGAUUGGAGUCUGUAACCCGACUCCAUGAAGUUGGAUUCGCUAGUAAU
RNAcentral lists this ribosomal RNA (600 nucleotides) under uncultured bacterium. RNAcentral describes it as "bacterial SSU rRNA". It matches the Rfam family "Bacterial small subunit ribosomal RNA", at positions 665 to 1342 of the family's 1533-position model. The record is from RNAcentral.